CUGCGGAAAGCGAAACAGCUCCAUGCUAGUUGUUGAGGAUGGAUUUCUGGAAGUAAAAUGACCACGUGAAAGGGAAUGAGUAUUUUCAAGUUGUCCAUAUGAUCUCCAGAGAGGUUUUAUAUUCACUUUCCCUUUGGGCUGCUGUAAAGUAGGUGCUGGUGCAUCACCGCAAGUCAGCACUGUGGCUUUGGGACAGUUAAUUGACUUCUGUGCAUUACUUUCUGCCUCAGGGAAAAUGGGAAUCAGCACCUACUUCGAAGGAAGUGAAGGGGUGCAGGGAAUGAGAUGGUGUUAGACGAGACGCACCAUCUACACAUUUGCUAUUAUUUAAAGCAACAUCCAAACCAUCGUAGAAGUGUUUUGCUUGGGAAAACUGGAGGAGGAGACAGGAUUCCCUAAUAUCACAGUGACCUACAGAGAGGGACAAAAGUACAGGUUCUCUACCCAGAAGUACCUUCAACCCCUUUCUAAGGAAACCUCCUCUGAGAUCCACUUGCCCACUAACCCCAGCUAUCAGGACCCAGCAAUUCUGCCAAGCACCUUCAAAUCUAGCAAGUCAUGCUGGCUUUCUGCUUCAGGUGGGGCCUUAGCAACUGGCUCCAAAUUAAAAUAAAGUGAUGAUCCUUUGCAGGGAGAAAGUGUGAGAAUUUUCAGUUGCCUGGUAGACUUUUGUGGACUACUAUUGCUUUUGAGGUAUUAGGAGACUAACGAUGACAAUGGGAGCAUCUCAAGAUCUCUUCAAGCUCACCCUCAUUGUCUUUAUGUCAGGUACCUUUCAGUUUCU
Molecule: long non-coding RNA, 784 nt
Organism: Heterocephalus glaber (naked mole-rat)
Lineage: Eukaryota; Metazoa; Chordata; Mammalia; Rodentia; Bathyergidae
Source: Ensembl